This 423-nucleotide ribosomal RNA is filed under the name uncultured bacterium. RNAcentral's name for it is "bacterial SSU rRNA". It matches the Rfam family "Bacterial small subunit ribosomal RNA", at positions 917 to 1344 of the family's 1533-position model. The record is from RNAcentral.
GGGCCCGCACAAGCGGUGGAGCAUGUGGUUUAAUUCGAUGCAACGCGAAGAACCUUACCAGGGCUUGACAUACUGCGAACUUCUUUGAAAAGAGAAGGUGCCUUCGGGAACGCAGAUACAGGUGGUGCAUGGCUGUCGUCAGCUCGUGUCGUGAGAUGUUGGGUUAAGUCCCGCAACGAGCGCAACCCUUGUUUUUAGUUACCAAUUCGUUGGGUUUUCUAGAAAGACUGCCGGUGACAAACCGGAGGAAGGUGAGGAUGACGUCAAGUCAGCAUGCCCCUUAUGUCCUGGGCUACACACGUGCUACAAUGGUUAGGACAAAGAGUCGCGAGCUUGUGAAAGUUAGCUAAUCUCGUAAACCUCGCCUAAGUUCAGAUUGUAGGCUGCAACUCGCCUACAUGAAGUUGGAAUCGCUAGUAAUCG